GUAAGGAAUAUUGGGCAAUGGAGGCAACUCUGACCCAGCCAUGCCGCGUGAAGGAUGACGGCCCUCGUGGUUGUAAACUUCUUUUGUACGGGAAUAACCCUCCGAACGUGUUCGGAGCUGAAGGUACCGUAAGAAUAAGGAUCGGCUAACUCCGUGCCAGCAGCCGCGGUAAUACGGAGGAUCCAAGCGUUAUCCGGAUUUACUGGGUUUAAAGGGUGCGUAGGCGGAUUGAUAAGUCAGUGGUGAAAGCCUACAGCUUAACUGUAGAACUGCCAUUGAUACUGCCAGUCUUGAGUAUGGUUGAGGUAGCUGGAAUGUGUCAUGUAGCGGUGAAAUGCUUAGAGAUGACACAGAACACCAACGGCGAAGGCAGGUUACCAACCCAUUACUGACGCUGAGGCACGAAAGCGUGGGGAUCAAACAGGAUUAGAAACCCCUGUAGUCC
RNAcentral lists this ribosomal RNA (445 nucleotides) under uncultured bacterium. RNAcentral's name for it is "partial 16S ribosomal RNA". It matches the Rfam family "Bacterial small subunit ribosomal RNA", at positions 354 to 796 of the family's 1533-position model. The record is from RNAcentral.